This 444-nucleotide ribosomal RNA is filed under the name Staphylococcus aureus. Its description in RNAcentral is "partial 23S ribosomal RNA". It matches the Rfam family "Bacterial large subunit ribosomal RNA", at positions 2479 to 2925 of the family's 2925-position model. The record is from RNAcentral. Lineage: Bacteria; Bacillati; Bacillota; Bacilli; Caryophanales; Staphylococcaceae.
AGGCUUAUCUCCCCCAAGAGUUCACAUCGACGGGGAGGUUUGGCACCUCGAUGUCGGCUCAUCGCAUCCUGGGGCUGUAGUCGGUCCCAAGGGUUGGGCUGUUCGCCCAUUAAAGCGGUACGCGAGCUGGGUUCAGAACGUCGUGAGACAGUUCGGUCCCUAUCCGUCGUGGGCGUAGGAAAUUUGAGAGGAGCUGUCCUUAGUACGAGAGGACCGGGAUGGACAUACCUCUGGUGUACCAGUUGUCGUGCCAACGGCAUAGCUGGGUAGCUAUGUGUGGACGGGAUAAGUGCUGAAAGCAUCUAAGCAUGAAGCCCCCCUCAAGAUGAGAUUUCCCAACUUCGGUUAUAAGAUCCCUCAAAGAUGAUGAGGUUAAUAGGUUCGAGGUGGAAGCAUGGUGACAUGUGGAGCUGACGAAUACUAAUCGAUCGAAGACUUAAUCAA